CAAAAAAAGUGUCGCUGGUUUCUUUUUAAAUUCUGGAAGAAAUUACACAAACAAAACGUGGCAGAGAAGGAAAUUCCUUCUACGUCUCAUCAGAGUGUAGCAUGCGGUGGAAAAGCAAUAGAAACUCAAACUGAGACUACAGACUGCUUCGGGUGAGUACACGUGGUGCACAAAGACC
Non-coding RNA from Neolamprologus brichardi, 178 nucleotides. NCBI's taxonomy places the organism in Eukaryota, Metazoa, Chordata, Actinopteri, Cichliformes, Cichlidae. The record is from RefSeq and is a predicted model, not a curated record.